This 200-nucleotide ribosomal RNA is filed under the name uncultured prokaryote. Its description in RNAcentral is "partial 16S ribosomal RNA". It matches the Rfam family "Bacterial small subunit ribosomal RNA", at positions 1184 to 1382 of the family's 1533-position model. The record is from RNAcentral.
GUCAAGUCAUCAUGGCCCUUAUGUCCAGGGCGACACACGUGCUACAAUGGCCGGUACAAAGGGAAGCAAAUAUGCGAGUAUGAGCGGAUCCCCAAAAGCCGGUCUCAGUUCGGAUUGAAGUCUGCAAUUCGACUUCAUGAAGCUGGAAUCGCUAGUAAUCGCAGAUCAGCCAAGCUGCGGUGAAUACGUUCCCGGGCCUU